UACGUAGGGUGCGAGCGUUGUCCGGAAUUAUUGGGCGUAAAGAGCUCGUAGGCGGUGUGUCACGUCGGCCGUGAAAACCUGCAGCUUAACUGUGGGCGUGCGGUCGAUACGGGCAUCACUGGAGUUCGGCAGGGGAGACUGGAAUUCCUGGUGUAGCGGUGAAAUGCGCAGAUAUCAGGAAGAACACCCGUGGCGAAGGCGGCUCUCUGGUACGUGACUGACGCUGAGACGCGAAAGCGUGGGGAGCAAACAGG
Molecule: ribosomal RNA, 254 nt
Filed under: uncultured bacterium
Lineage: Bacteria
Description: partial 16S ribosomal RNA
Rfam family: Bacterial small subunit ribosomal RNA
Source: RNAcentral